UACGUAGGGUGCGAGCGUUUUUCGGAAUUACUGGGCGUAAAGCGUGCGUAGGCGGAUUUUUUAGCCAGAUGUGAAAUCCCCGGGCUUAACCUGGGAAUGGCAUUUUGUACUGGAAGUCUUGAGUGCGGCAGAGGUGGGUGGAAUUCCAAGUGUAGCUGUGAAAUGCGUAGAUAUGUGGAAGAACACCAGUGGCGAAGGCAGCUCCCUGGUCCGGUACUGACGCUCAUGUACGAAAGCGUGGGGAGCAAACAGG
This 253-nucleotide ribosomal RNA is filed under the name uncultured bacterium. RNAcentral describes it as "partial 16S ribosomal RNA". It matches the Rfam family "Bacterial small subunit ribosomal RNA", at positions 524 to 776 of the family's 1533-position model. The record is from RNAcentral.